Molecule: long non-coding RNA, 2263 nt
Filed under: Homo sapiens (human)
Lineage: Eukaryota; Metazoa; Chordata; Mammalia; Primates; Hominidae
Description: HSALNT0126840
Source: RNAcentral
GGAUGAAGCUGCCCGGCGCCAUUUUGCUUGUGGGCUGCCGCCCGCCGUUGCCUCUCCGCGGAGGCUCGAAGAUAGCAAACUGGAGGCGGUGAGGGGGACGGAAUCUCUGUCUUUCUGACAACAGAUGCAUUCAACAAUCCACCGAAGGUUUGAGGAAGUGUCGGUAUUCGGUGGGACUGGUUCUUUCCCCCUUUCCCCCAGUGGCCCUCAAGUCUGGAUAUAGGUGAGCUUGGGCAUGCCAGUAUUGGGUGCACGAACAAGGACAGCAGGGCUUGGGAACGAACUCCCUCCCGUCACCCUCCGAAAGCGAUACACCUUCUCCCCCUCCCAAACAACCCCAGUCCCGUCUCCCCGUUCCUCUCCCCCUCCUCCCCCAGCCCAGUCUGGCCUCCAGCGCUGGGUGAACCCGGUUGGGGUGUCACUCGACGCCCACUAGGGGCUGAGGAGGCUCCAGUGCGCAGGCUCCGGGCACCGGAUAAAAGCGGAGCUGGCGAGUCUAGUGCUGUCUCGAUGGAGGAGCAAGAAACGGAAGAGGUCGGGGGGAGAAGCAGCCGGAAAAAUGCAGCCACCGUCAACGCCGCCUCCCUGCCACCGUGCUUCGGGGUAAAAAGCUGCCGUUGCCGUCGGUGCAGUUGCCGUCGCUGCCUCCUAUACUUCUCUUGGCCUCGGGGAAGGAUUUCCCCACCGGUGGGACAAUGUGCGGGGAGGGGAGUGGGAAUUCCUUUAUAUGGCGGUGAUUAAACGAGGGAGGGACAGACAGUGAUCUCGAAGAAAAAAGGGGGAGACCAAAGAAUAAAAGAAGGGUUUCCCCACUAAAAUGACACGGCGAUUCCGGCUCUUGUUUUGGGGGUCUUUCCCCGAAAUGGUUUCCGUCUUCCCCUUGCCCCGCAGCGACCCAGAGCGCUGGGGGAAGCGGAGUGGGGAGAGGCAGAGGCGGUCUCGGCAGCCAAUCAGCGCCUGAUGUGUCCUGUCGGGCGCGUCGUGGUUGGCUGGCGAUGACCUCAUCCUGCAGCAGCGGGUGGGGCCAAAGCCGUAGGGGGAGGCUGUUGCAAAGGUAGAGAGGGAGAAGUGACGAUGGUGAUCGUUGCUGCCGCGGCCGAUAUGGAACCCAAGCAGUGGCGAAGGGAAUCGCAAGGCUCUUCCCUGACCAUUUUCUACUGUCCCUGCGCGAGGCUGAGUUAUGAACUUCGGUUUGGUUUCUUUCUGCAAUCCCUGCAGGGCCAUAAAUUCUUGGCCCUUAAGACUGGGUGGCCCAUAACAGACUCAGUGAUACCAUCAGUAACCACAAUUCACACUGGAGUCAAGUUAUCUGAUUCCCACACCAGUUGGAGAACUGGAGAUUCCUUAGAACUUUUAACUGUCAUGUUUUCAAAGUUGACAUGGAAAAUUUUACAUGAAGCUUAAAAAUACAACUAAUCUGUGGUGAUAGAGACGAGAAGAGUUAAGCUCUAAAAUUAGAAGAGCAGUUCGUUUUGAGGCAGCACUGAUUGGGAGGGAGCAUGGAGUAUAUAAUUACACAUUUCUAUGUAAUGUAAAAAUGUAUAGAUUUAAGAUUUAUGCAUUUUAUGUAAAUUUUACUACAAUAAAACGAAAAUGAAAGAAGACAGAUCAUAGUUUAAUCAAAUAUUGUGUACAAAGUAAUUUCUGUUAAACAUUUAUAUUUUUAUGUGUAUAUGUAUCUUUUACAUGUAUGUGUUAAGGAUAUGCAUUAAAAUGGUAAUAACUUCCUCUGCCUGUUGGGAUAAUGGAGAGUUUUGUUACUUUUUGUCUUUUUUUAAAACAUGUUCUUCAAUAAUAAUGUAUUGCUUUUGUAAUUAUGAAAAACAAAAGUUAUUUUGUAAAUCUUUGUUACUGAUAAGAGAUGGGUAUUCUGUUAACUACUCAAUUCUCAUGUAGGAAAACAAAAUAAAUAAUGUCUAUUUGAUAAAUCGAGAAACAGAAGCAUUACUUAGAAAUCUGAGUUACCUCUAAAAUAAUGACUGGCAUUUGAAGUUGAGGAUGGGUCUUGAGUUCCUGUGAUUUUAAGCUCUUGGAUAUGAGGGUUGGAUUCUUCAUUUGAAAAAUGGGAAAAAGAAGUAAUAUCACGUACCUUGACCAUGGUAUCAGAGAAUGACCUCAGAAGUUGUGAGGGAAUUCUCAGACAAAACUUUGAAAUAUAAUCCAGGAUUCAAUCAGUAUAAAGGACGCUCAGCAUAACCCAAGAAGGUCACAGACCAGAAUCACUGGCUGAAACCUCUGGCAGUGACCAACCUCAACUCAAAAG